CCUACGGGAGGCUGCAGUGAGGAAUAUUGGUCAAUGGGCGCGAGCCUGAACCAGCCAAGCAGCGUGAAGGAUGACUGCCCUACGGGUUGUAAACUUCUUUUAUAAAGGAGUAGAGUGAGGCACGUGUGCCUUUUUGUAUGUACUUUAUGAAUAAGGAUCGGCUAACUCCGUGCCAGCAGCCGCGGUAAUACGGAGGAUCCGAGCGUUAUCCGGAUUUAUUGGGUUUAAAGGGAGCGUAGAUGGGUUGUUAAGUCGGUUGUGAAAGUUUGCGGCUCAACCGUAAAAUUGCAAUUGAUACUGGCAGGCUUGAGUACAGUUGAGGUAGGCGGAAUUCGUGGUGUAGCGGUGAAAUGCUUAGAUAUCACGAAGAACUCCGAUUGCGAAGGCAGCUUACUAAACUGCCACUGACAUUGAUGCUCGAAAGUGUGGGUAUCAAACAGGAUUAGAUACCCUGGUAGUC
This 460-nucleotide ribosomal RNA is filed under the name uncultured bacterium. RNAcentral describes it as "partial 16S ribosomal RNA". It matches the Rfam family "Bacterial small subunit ribosomal RNA", at positions 338 to 795 of the family's 1533-position model. The record is from RNAcentral.